UCGAAUUUCCUCUGCCAUUGUUUUGGGUCAUUCUAGUUAGCUGCAGUUACGAUAAUAUGGCUCAAAUGUAGUGAAAAUUUCGAAUUGACUUCACAAGGGCUCGGUUGUCAUAUAUAUUUACUUCACAUGCCGUAAAUCUAUUCGAGAAAUAUUGAUAUUCAUUGUUUAAUUGAAUUUACUGACAAAGGACAAGAUUAAACGAGUGAACUUGGAUAGAAGUGAGGGCGGAGGUGGAAAAAUGCCCCCUGUAUCUGGUAAUGGAGGGCUGAAGGAGACGAUCAGUGAAUAUGUCUCGAACAACAAGGUGAUGAUCUUCAGCAAAACCACCUGUCCAUUCUAUAAAAAGGUGAAAGACUUAUUGCAAUCUUCACAGAUCAAAUUUGAGGUGUUGGAGCUGGACCAGCAAGCCAAUGGAAGUGAAAUCUAGAACGCCCUACUGAAAAUAACUGGUCAACGAACAGUUCCGAAUGUGUUUGUGGCCGGACAACAUCUAGGUAAGUGUUAAUUGGAUCGUAUCAAAGGAAAUUGUUUUAUUCUGGACGCUGUUUGAAAUUAAGAUUAUCGUGAUUUUAUCAAUAUUUGUUGAAUACCAAUAUCCUUGGAUUUUAUGGUUGAUUUGAUCCACCAAAUUAAAUCGUCAUCAGAGUGUGAUUUCUAAUAAUGUAUUAAUAACGUAUUGAAAAUGUAAUUUUCACUUAAUUAAUGAAAAAUAAUGUCUAUAAAUAUUAAUGAAGCACAGAAUGAGAUGAUCAUGUUUAAUUUUCAUUGAUGUACGAGGAGACAAUCGAUUAAUGUUCUUGUAUACAUGUACCA
Long non-coding RNA from Magallana angulata, 813 nucleotides. RefSeq lists it as uncharacterized. Lineage: Eukaryota; Metazoa; Mollusca; Bivalvia; Ostreida; Ostreidae. The record is from RefSeq and is a predicted model, not a curated record. The transcript has 3 exons.